Molecule: ribosomal RNA, 465 nt
Filed under: Vreelandella stevensii
Lineage: Bacteria; Pseudomonadati; Pseudomonadota; Gammaproteobacteria; Oceanospirillales; Halomonadaceae
Description: partial 16S ribosomal RNA
Rfam family: Bacterial small subunit ribosomal RNA
Source: RNAcentral
CCUACGGGAGGCAGCACUGGGGAAUAUUGGACAAUGGGGGGAACCCUGAUCCAGCCAUGCCGCGUGUGUGAAGAAGGCCCUCGGGUUGUAAAGCACUUUCAGUGAGGAAGAACGCCUGGUGGUUAAUACCCAUCAGGAAAGACAUCACUCACAGAAGAAGCACCGGCUAACUCCGUGCCAGCAGCCGCGGUAAUACGGAGGGUGCGAGCGUUAAUCGGAAUUACUGGGCGUAAAGCGCGCGUAGGUGGCUUGAUAAGCCGGUUGUGAAAGCCCCGGGCUCAACCUGGGAACGGCAUCCGGAACUGUCAAGCUAGAGUGCAGGAGAGGAAGGUAGAAUUCCCGGUGUAGCGGUGAAAUGCGUAGAGAUCGGGAGGAAUACCAGUGGCGAAGGCGGCCUUCUGGACUGACACUGACACUGAGGUGCGAAAGCGUGGGUAGCAAACAGGAUUAGAUACCCUUGUAGUC